CGGGGCGUAGCGCAGGUUGGUAGCGCACAUGGUUUGGGACCAUGGGGUCGGAGGUUCAAAUCCUCUCGCCCCGA
Molecule: transfer RNA, 74 nt
Filed under: bacterium
Lineage: Bacteria
Description: tRNA-Pro
Rfam family: tRNA
About the family: Transfer RNA (tRNA) molecules are approximately 80 nucleotides in length. Their secondary structure includes four short double-helical elements and three loops (D, anti-codon, and T loops).
Source: RNAcentral